GUCAAGGUGGCAGAAAUAUGCGUCAAAGUUAAGUUUUGAAGAUAGAACAAAGCUUCUUCUUGAUA
This 65-nucleotide transfer RNA is filed under the name Antigona lamellaris. RNAcentral describes it as "tRNA-Leu". Lineage: Eukaryota; Metazoa; Mollusca; Bivalvia; Venerida; Veneridae. The record is from RNAcentral.